Molecule: ribosomal RNA, 497 nt
Filed under: uncultured bacterium
Lineage: Bacteria
Description: partial 16S ribosomal RNA
Rfam family: Bacterial small subunit ribosomal RNA
Source: RNAcentral
GACGAACGCUGGCGGCGUGCCUAAUACAUGCAAGUAGAACGCUGAAGAGAGGAGCUUACUCUUCUUGGAUGAGUUGCGCACGGGUGAGUAACGCGUAGGUAACCUGCCUUGUAGCGGGGGAUAACUAUUGGAAACGAUAGCUAAUACCGCAUAACAAUGGAUGACACAUGUCAUUUAUUUGAAAGGGGCAAUUGCUCCACUACAAGAUGGACCUGCGUUGUAUUAGCUAGUAGGUGAGGUAAUGGCUCACCUAGGCGACGAUACAUAGCCGACCUGAGAGGGUGGUCGGCCAAACUGGGAAUGAGAAACGGCCCAGACUCCUACGGGAGGGAGCAGUAGGGAAUCUUCGGAAAUGGGGGGAAACCUGACCGAGCAACGCCGCGUGAGUGAAGAAGGUUUUCGGAUCGUAAAGGUCUGUUGUAAGUCAAGAACGGGUGUGAGAGUGGAAAGUUCACGCUGUGACGGUAGCUUACCAGAAAGGGACGGCUAACUACGUG